RNAcentral lists this ribosomal RNA (253 nucleotides) under uncultured bacterium. RNAcentral's name for it is "partial 16S ribosomal RNA". It matches the Rfam family "Bacterial small subunit ribosomal RNA", at positions 524 to 776 of the family's 1533-position model. The record is from RNAcentral.
UACAGAGGUCUCAAGCGUUGUUCGGAUUCAUUGGGCGUAAAGGGUGCGCAGGCGGCGCGGUAAGUCGGGUGUGAAAUCUUGGAGCUUAACUCCGAAACUGCAUUCGAUACUGCCGUGCUUGAGGACUGGAGAGGAGACUGGAAUUUACGGUGUAGCGGUGAAAUGCGCAGAUAUCAGGAGGAACACCUAUUGCGAAGGCAGCUCGCUGGGACGUAACUGACGCUGAGACGCGAAAGCGUGGGGAGCAAACAGG